Molecule: non-coding RNA, 46 nt
Organism: Nipponia nippon (crested ibis)
Lineage: Eukaryota; Metazoa; Chordata; Aves; Pelecaniformes; Threskiornithidae
Source: Rfam
CCAAAGGCUCUUUUAAGAGCCACCCACUUACUCCCAAAAAGAGCUG